AUUGAACGCUAGCGGCAUGCUUUACACAUGCAAGUCGAACGGCAGCGCGGGCUUCGGCCUGGCGGCGAGUGGCGAACGGGUGAGUAAUGCAUCGGAACGUGCCCAGUAGUGGGGGAUAGCCCGGCGAAAGCCGGAUUAAUACCGCAUACGACCUGAGGGUGAAAGCGGGGGACCGAAAGGCCUCGCGCUAUUGGAGCGGCCGAUGUCGGAUUAGCUAGUUGGUGGGGUAAAGGCUUACCAAGGCGACGAUCCGUAGCUGGUCUGAGAGGACGACCAGCCACACUGGGACUGAGACACGGCCCAGACUCCUACGGGAGGCAGCAGUGGGGAAUUUUGGACAAUGGGGGCAACCCUGAUCCAGCCAUGCCGCGUGCGGGAAGAAGGCCUUCGGGUUGUAAACCGCUUUUGUUCGGGAAGAAAUCCUCUGGGCUAAUACCCCGGGGGGAUGACGGUACCGGAAGAAUAAGCACCGGCUAACUACGUG
RNAcentral lists this ribosomal RNA (484 nucleotides) under uncultured bacterium. RNAcentral's name for it is "partial 16S ribosomal RNA". It matches the Rfam family "Bacterial small subunit ribosomal RNA", at positions 29 to 507 of the family's 1533-position model. The record is from RNAcentral.